AGUCAAGUAAUUAAGUGCAUGUGGUGGAUGCCUUGGCAGUCAGAGGCGAUGAAAGACGUGAUAGCCUGCGAAAAGCUCCGGGGAGGCGGCAAAUAUCCUUUGAUCCGGAGAUGUCUGAAUGGGGGAACCCACCUACUUUAAGGUAGGUAUUGCAACAUGAAUACAUAGUGUUGCAAGGCGAACGAGGGGAAGUGAAACAUCUCAGUACCCUUAGGAAAAGAAAUCAAUUGAGAUUCCCUCAGUAGCGGCGAGCGAACGGGGAUCAGCCCAUUAAGUUAUGUGUGUUUUAGUGGAACGCUCUGGGAAGUGCGAACGUAGAGGGUGAUAUUCCCGUACACGAAAGGGCACACAUAAUGAUGACGAGUAGGGCGAGGCACGUGAAACCUUGUCUGAAUAUGGGGGGACCAUCCUCCAAGGCUAAAUACUCCUGACUGACCGAUAGUGAACCAGUACCGUGAGGGAAAGGCGAAAAGAACCCCUGUGAGGGGAGUGAAAUAGAUCCUGAAACCGCAUGCA
This 516-nucleotide ribosomal RNA is filed under the name Acinetobacter baumannii. Its description in RNAcentral is "partial 23S ribosomal RNA". It matches the Rfam family "Bacterial large subunit ribosomal RNA", at positions 1 to 564 of the family's 2925-position model. Lineage: Bacteria; Pseudomonadati; Pseudomonadota; Gammaproteobacteria; Moraxellales; Moraxellaceae. The record is from RNAcentral.